This 628-nucleotide ribosomal RNA is filed under the name Trametes hirsuta. RNAcentral describes it as "eukaryotic LSU rRNA". The stretch from base 222 to 375 matches the Rfam family "5.8S ribosomal RNA". Lineage: Eukaryota; Fungi; Basidiomycota; Agaricomycetes; Polyporales; Polyporaceae. The record is from RNAcentral.
UCCGUAGGUGAACCUGCGGAAGGAUCAUUAACGAGUUUUGAAAGGGGUUGUUGCUGGCCUUCCGAGGCAUGUGCACGCCCUGCUCAUCCACUCUACACCUGUGCACUUACUGUAGGUUGGCGUGGGUUUCUAGCCUCCGGGUUGGAAGCAUUCUGCCGGCCUAUGUACACUACAAACUCUUAAAGUAUCAGAAUGUAAACGCGUCUAACGCAUCUUAAUACAACUUUCAGCRACGGAUCUCUUGGCUCUCGCAUCGAUGAAGAACGYAGCGAAAUGCGAUAAGUAAUGUGAAUUGCAGAAUUCAGUGAAUCAUCGAAUCUUUGAACGCACCUUGCGCUCCUUGGUAUUCCGAGGAGCAUGCCUGUUUGAGUGUCAUGAAAUUCUCAACCCAUAAAUCCUUGUGAUCUAUGGGCUUGGAUUUGGAGGCUUGCUGGCCCUAGCGGUCGGCUCCUCUUGAAUGCAUUAGCUUGAUUCCGUGCGGAUCGGCUCUCAGUGUGAUAAUUGUCUACGCUGUGACCGUGAAGCGUUUUGGCAAGCUUCUAACCGUCCAUUAGGACAAUUUUAUAACAUCUGACCUCAAAUCAGGUAGGACUACCCGCUGAACUUAAGCAUAUCAAUAAGCGGAGGA